This 497-nucleotide ribosomal RNA is filed under the name uncultured bacterium. RNAcentral's name for it is "partial 16S ribosomal RNA". It matches the Rfam family "Bacterial small subunit ribosomal RNA", at positions 28 to 507 of the family's 1533-position model. The record is from RNAcentral.
GAUGAACGCUGGCGGCGUGCCUAAUACAUGCAAGUCGAGCGAACAGACGAGGAGCUUGCUCCUCUGACGUUAGCGGCGGACGGGUGAGUAACACGUGGAUAACCUACCUAUAAGACUGGGAUAACUUCGGGAAACCGGAGCUAAUACCGGAUAAUAUAUUGAACCGCAUGGUUCAAUAGUGAAAGACGGUUUUGCUGUCACUUAUAGAUGGAUCCGCGCCGCAUUAGCUAGUUGGUAAGGUAACGGCUUACCAAGGGAACGAUGCGUAGCCGACCUGAGAGGGUGAUCGGCCACACGGGAACUGAGACACGGUCCAGAGUCCUGCGGGAGGCAGCAGUAGGGAAUCUUCCGCAAUGGGCGAAAGCCUGACGGAGCAGCGCCGCGUGAGUGAUGAAGGUCUUCGGAUCGUAAAACUCUGUUAUUAGGGAAAAACAAAUGUGUAAGUAACUAUGCACGUCUUGACGGUACCUAAUCAGAAAGCCACGGCUAACUACGUG